Long non-coding RNA from Pipistrellus kuhlii (Kuhl's pipistrelle), 260 nucleotides. RefSeq lists it as uncharacterized. The record is from RefSeq and is a predicted model, not a curated record. The transcript is spliced from 2 exons. Lineage: Eukaryota; Metazoa; Chordata; Mammalia; Chiroptera; Vespertilionidae.
UAUUUACAGAAAAACCAGUUAAAAAUUAAGGGUGUGUACAAAAGUAGACAUGAGAGCCAGAAAUAUCAAUGCAGGGAAAGCUGUGGGGCUCACGGGGCAUUGUAUUCCACACUGGACCCAGGGCAAUAUGGUAUGUACCAGGCAGGGAGCAGCACAGCGAAUCUCAGUGCCAAUUUCAGGGGAAACUAAUCACUCCAGGGGAAGUCUUAAUUAUCCAGCCACCCUUCUUCUGCCAUAUGGGUUCAGAGCCAGGUAGCGAG